ACACUGGCGGCGAGCCUAAUACAUGCAAGUCGAACGGAAGUUUAAGCAAUUAAACUUUAGUGGCGAACGGGUGAAUAACGCGUAAGCAAUCUGCCCCUAAGACGAGGAUAACAGUUGGAAACGACUGCUAAGACUGGAUAGGAGAUAAGAAGGCAUCUUUUUAUUUUUAAAAGACCUAGCAAUAGGUAUGCUUAGGGAAGAGCUUGCGUCACAUUAGUUAGUUGGUGGGGUAAUGGCCUACCAAGACGAUGAUGUGUAGCCGGGCUGAGAGGUCGAACGGCCACAUUGGGACUGAGACACGGCCCAAACUCCUACGGGAGGCAGCAGUAAGGAAUUUUCGGCAAUGGAGGAAACUCUGACCGAGCAAUGCCGCGUGAACGAUGAAGUAUUUCGGUACGUAAAGUUCUUUUAUUAGGGAAGAAAAGAUGGUGGAAAAACCAUUAUGACGGUACCUAAUGAAUAAGCCCCGGCUAACUAUGUGCCAGCAGCCGCGGUAAUACAUAGGGGGCAAGCGUUAUCCGGAAUUAUUGGGCGUAAAGGGUGCGUAGGCGGUUAAAUAAGUUUAUGGUCUAAGUGCAACGCUCAACGUUGUGAUGCUAUAAAAACUGUUUAGCUAGAGUUGGAUAGAGGCAAGUGGAAUUCCGUGUGUAGUGGUAAAAUGCGUAAAUAUACGGAGGAACACCAGAAGCGAAGGCGGCUUGCUGGGUCUUAACUGACGCUGAGGCACGAAAGCGUGGGGAGCAAACAGGAUUAGAUACCCUGGUAGUCCACGCCCUAAACGAUGAGUACUAAACGUUGGAUAAAACCAGUGUUGAAGUUAACACAUUAAGUACUCCGCCUGAGUAGUACGUACGCAAGUAUGAAACUUAAAGGAAUUGACGGGACUCCGCACAAGCGGUGGAUCAUGUUGUUUAAUUCGAAGGUACCCGAAAAACCUCACCAGGUC
RNAcentral lists this ribosomal RNA (946 nucleotides) under Candidatus Phytoplasma solani. RNAcentral describes it as "bacterial SSU rRNA". It matches the Rfam family "Bacterial small subunit ribosomal RNA", at positions 33 to 980 of the family's 1533-position model. Lineage: Bacteria; Bacillati; Mycoplasmatota; Mollicutes; Acholeplasmatales; Acholeplasmataceae. The record is from RNAcentral.